This 4353-nucleotide long non-coding RNA is filed under the name Equus caballus (horse). Its description in RNAcentral is "lncRNA (ENSECAG00000059253.1)". The record is from RNAcentral. Lineage: Eukaryota; Metazoa; Chordata; Mammalia; Perissodactyla; Equidae.
CCUUAUUCUAGGUUGAGUAAUUCGUCAUUCCUGCGUUCAACUCCCUUAUAAUCUAGAAGAAAAGAUCUAGACAUGAAUAACUGGAGUUCAGUCCUGCCUUUCUUAGGUCCCCAUCAAUAUAUCAGUGUCUUGAAGGAAUUAAUGACUUGGGAAAAUGCAGAGAAGGAAGAGCAGUUGAGGAUUGACCCAGCAAAAUUCCCCUCUAGAUUUUUCAGUGUGACUGAUGGCACACUCCCAGAACUUGAUUAGAUGUAAGAAAUUCAGGUCAGGCCAGUAGAGAGACCAGCAUCUUUGUGGUUAUGUCUUUGUCUGUAGUUAAUUCUCUUCUCCAUGAAGCUGGUCCCUUCCUUUUUGAAUCCCUCUCCCUGAAACCCGCAGCACAUAUUCUCACCUGUUCUUCCUCUUAAAUCUCCCCUGCUACCCUCCUCCAGACCGGUUACACAGAGCCUUGAAUCCUGCCAUCACCACUGCCCUCGUCAUCACCCGCCCGCAUCUUGAAGCAUCCUCCAGCUCUCUCUUGAUGAAAGUGUCUCCCCUCCACCUUCCAACGUUUGAACCUUCCCCAUCUUUACAGUGAAACAGGCCUUCUCUUGUCCCUGCUACAUGGAAAGUUGAAUAGUGGUGAGGCCUCAGACCCUUCCCAGGCAUCUCAGCACAUCUUCUAAGGAUCCUAAAUCUGUCCGCGCAAGGAAAUUUCUUUUUCAGUCCUCUGAAGUGGUACAAUCCAAAGGACAUCAUUUAUCUCCUUUGACAAGGCCCACUGAGCUCCAAUAUUCCAUGAACUCAAGAGCUGGCAAAGGGCAGCUGGGCCCAGCCCCAUUGUCCCUGGGUUCUUUUUUGCUGAGCUCUUUGUUCCAAGUUCCAUUCUGCUACCUAGGCUGGAAAUUCCACACAUGCUCAGCUCAAAGGAAUGCAGCUCACGCUGGCCAGAGCCCUUGCCAGGAAAUGGGGAGCAAACUUUUCAUUUGUGGCUUCUUGUCUUUUGUGGCUUCCUCCCUCACAUCUGUGAGGCAGACUAUGCCACUGCCUGAGCUAGUCCACCAACCUCUUCUAAUUGGGGAGCAACUACUCUCAGGUCACCUCUCUGGGAAGCCCCUGUUGCCUUCUUCAGGCAGCCUGGUUCCUGACCUUUAAAGAUCCAAAGAUCUUUCUUCUGGUAUGGUAUUUGAUGGCUUCCUGGUAUUUUCUUGAUUUGUUUGUUGUUUAACCAUACUCAUUCAUUCCCUUAUUCAUUUAUAUAAAACAUUUAUUUAAUGAGCACCUACUGUAUGCCAGGUCCUAUGAUGGGAGUCAAGGAUUACAAAGUCAGAUAUAGGCUCUACCCUCACAGAGCUUACUGUAUGGGGGUAAGCUGGUAGCCAGAAGCAGACACACAAGUAUACAUACGAUUAUAGCACACUCCAAAGCCGUGCAGCUAGGAAUGGUGUUGGGCAGACAGCCUACAUCACACAGGCGUUUGACUGAUGUUUGUAAUAUGUCAAAUGUCUCCAUUAGUCCCCAGUUUUCUACAUUAACAGAGGAAUGCACAAACCGUCAACUAUCUAAAAGUGUUCCUCAAAAUUGUUCCUCGUUGGCUUCAGAACACAUACUCUGUCACAUAUAACAAAGAAUUCGACCUUCUCUCUCAACCUCAAGUCCCUCCUUAGCUCAUCCCUGACAUUAAGGCCUUAGUUAGAGGAUGAAUGGACAGCAAGAGGAAUGAGGCCCCAGACCAGUGGCUACCCAAAAAAGCCUGUUUCCAGAAAGAGGUAAAGGGCUUCCAUUCAUGACGGCCAGCCCCCCCCCCCACCCCCGCCCCCAGGCACAAACACAUGCACCUACCACCAAGGCUUGCAAAAGGGAGUUGGAAUUGUUAAGCCCACCCCUAAUGGAUCUGGACUGCUGUUACCUGAACCACAUGAAGUUGCUUCUUUUUGUGUGUGUGAGGAAGAUUAGCCCUGAGCUAACAUCAGCUGCCAAUCCUCCUCUUUUUUUGCUGAGGAAGACUGGCCCUGAGCUAACAUCCAUGCCCAUCUUCCUCCACUUUGUAUGUGGGACGCCUACCACAGCAUGGCUUUUGCCAACCAGUGCCGUGUCCGCACCCGAGAUCUGAACCGGAGAACCCCAGGCCACCAAAGCGGAACACGCACACUUAACCGCUGCACCACUGGCUGGCCCUGAAGUUGCUUCUAUUUGACUGUUUUUGACUUACCAAAACAGCAGUUUCCUCAACCUAAUAUAUCUGAGAAUAAACAAAAAAGUUUUUUAAGUGAAUGAAGAGCUGGGGAACAACCAACCUCCCCAUCAAGGCGACCUCCCUAAUGGAAUCUCAGGGAGGCAGGGCUGGAAUGUGAUGCUAAUUGAAUGAUCUGCUCGGCAACCUAAUCAAGUACAUUGUUUGGAGAAUGCAUGAAACAACGAUUAGGGAUGAGGCUGGCGAAUAGAAAGAGGAAGGAAAAAGAAGCAGGGUAAAGCCAAGAGGCCCAAAGUUGACACUUACCCACCAGUGUCCAGGAGGAAAGCAACUCGAAAUUGGAGCUCACACAGAGGUGCCCUGCUGUGAGGCAGAGCUGACUGACUAAGUCCCACCCUGACUUGGAUGAAUUCUGCCUCCCUUAACUCCCGGGAUACACUCACCAACCAGCCCACUGAUGACUGAUUUGGCUCCUUGGGAUUGCUGAUAUUGGGAAAAGGAUACCCCAGUUGAGGGAGGAACAUUCCAAUUAUUGAAGAACCAACACUGUUAAUGAACACAUGGGUAUCUGGUUAUACACUUCAGCUUCUUACGAGUUGGAUUGAUGGGAGCCAGUCUCCUCUAAGCAGAUGAACUUCAGGACGUUGAUUUGGCUGUGAAACAGGUUCAGCUCUGUGGUAAAUUCAUCAAGGUGAAACUACCCCGGGUGGCCUCUUUGGGAGCCAGUCAGAUGACUCGGGCACAAAGCAAGACCUUCUGACUCAAUCAUUUCGAUCACAGAGUGCAGGGGAUAUAAUUAUGUUGGCAAGGCACGAUUAUCCUGUCCCUGACCCUGGCUCCACUCCUAAUCCCACUUCAUGACCCAACGAAUAGAUGUGAAAUUAUCCGGCAUUUUCUGCUUUUGACUCAGAGCCACCCCAGUGCUGGUUACCAGAUUAGCCCUGAGCUAACAUCUGCUGCCAAUCCUCCUCUUUUUGCUGAGGAAGACUGGCCCUGAGCUAACAUCUGUGCCCAUCUUCCUCUACAUUAUACAUGGGACGCCUGCCACAGCAUGGCUUGCCAAGUGGUGUCAUGUCCACACCCGGGAUCUGAACCUGUGAACCCCGGGCUGCCAAAGUAGAAUGUGUGAACUUAACCGCUGCACCACCGGGCCGGCCCCUAAAAAUCUCCUACUUAACCCUGGAAUACGACAUUUGGGUGAGAAUGGCCUGGCAUCCGGUCUCGCCUGACCAGCCUCAGCUGAAGCCGACUCUAGGUAUGCAGGUAGACUUUAAUAACCUUCUGAGGGCCCUGAGGGUUUCCCGUACUUUCAGUUCCAAUUCACUCCCACCACUGUCCCCAGAGUCCCCUGCCCAGGCUUGCUCCUUCCUGCACUUCACUGUGGGGUCAUUUCCCACACCCUGCCUACCAUGCCCCAUCUAGCUCUGCUCAGGAGACCCAUAGCACCACCAGCCCCUCUGAAGGUCUGGUGGACACUGGACUUGUUUUGAAAGAUAAUAUGAUAGGUUUAGUGUUUUAUAGGUUUGUUUAUUUUUAUCUACCUUCUCUCUUCCUCUAAAGGCUUAACUAGAAAGAAGGCAAUAGAAAAAAUACAGGUAGGAAAGGAAGAGGCAUGGAGAGAUGAGGCUAGCACAAAGAAUGCACAUCCAAGGGCUCUGGAAAGUUGCUUUUGGGGGUGGGGACAAGGCAAGUUAGGGACUGAGCUUCCUUGCAUUUUUCCCAGAUGAUGUCACAGGAAAUUUCUAUCUUGGCCACUCACGAUGAAGACGUCUCUGGGGCCGAGGUUAGAUGGCUUCCCCUGUCCUCACAGUGUUGUGAGUCUGAGCGGUACAAACAGUUAUAUCUGCUUGCACCUAGAAAGAGUCAUGCCACUGCGAAGCUCCCUCCGCUCCAGCGUGUCUUGUCUUUUCUCCUCUGGAUCUUUGCACCAGCUGUUUCCUCUCCCGAGAAUGUUCCGCCUUCUCCUGUCCACCUGCGGAAGUCAACCUGCUCUUCAGGGCCCAGAGGAAAAGCCAUCGCUUCUCCGCCUUCCCAGAUGCCCUGGUGGGAUUAAACUCUGCCUCCCCCAGUGCCUGUCUUUGUACCUCUCUUAAAGAGCUGAUCCAACCUGUGCUGGUCACCUUGGACUUGCCUCUAGCGGGCUGUAGGUCUUUGCGAGGGCAGACACCAAGGGAUUUUUU